AAUGUUGUGUUUGGUUGGGGAGAAUGGAAUGGAAUGAAAUGAAAUGAGUAAAAAAUACUUGAAACUAAUAGAGAUAGGAAGAAUGUUUUGAAAAAAUUUGAAGGAGUGCAAAAUUGCUAUGAUGAGAUUUGAGAAGAAAUUGAGGAUGAGAGAGAAUGGAGCAUUCCAUCUCAAAUGGAAAGGGUGAUAUCUAGCAUGUGGUGUAAGGAAUGGAAUGGAGGAAGUAAUGAAAUUUCUUAAAAAUCAUCCACAAGAUAGUUCAUUUUUCAUUCCAUUCCUUCCGGAAUCAUUCACCCCAACCAAACACAACAUAA
RNAcentral lists this long non-coding RNA (314 nucleotides) under Daucus carota (carrot). Its description in RNAcentral is "long non-coding RNA (DCAR_LNC005248)". The record is from RNAcentral. Lineage: Eukaryota; Viridiplantae; Streptophyta; Magnoliopsida; Apiales; Apiaceae.